RNAcentral lists this ribosomal RNA (258 nucleotides) under uncultured bacterium. RNAcentral describes it as "partial 16S ribosomal RNA". It matches the Rfam family "Bacterial small subunit ribosomal RNA", at positions 96 to 354 of the family's 1533-position model. The record is from RNAcentral.
CGGCGGACGGGUGAGUAACGCGUGGGUAACCUGCCUUACACAGGGGGAUAACAGUUAGAAAUGACUGCUAAUACCACAUAAGACCCCGGUACCGCAUGGUACAGAGGUAAAAACUGAGGUGGUGUAAGAUGGACCCGCGUCUGAUUAGGUAGUUGGUGAGGUAACGGCUCACCAAGCCGACGAUCAGUAGCCGGCCUGAGAGGGUGGACGGCCACAUUGGGACUGAGACACGGCCCAGACUCCUACGGAAGGCAGCAG